Molecule: long non-coding RNA, 3023 nt
Organism: Syngnathus acus (greater pipefish)
Lineage: Eukaryota; Metazoa; Chordata; Actinopteri; Syngnathiformes; Syngnathidae
Exons: 2
Source: RefSeq, a predicted model, not a curated record
AGGGGGGUGGCAAUAAAUAUUAAGCAAUGAGCUAAGCCUCAAGCCUUCAAUAGAACUGUGGGGAAAUGGCAGACAACUGGAAGCAGGAUGGAGGGGAAAAAGGUCACUUUGAUACUCAUGUCUUUAUUUCAUCAUCAUUAGCUGAUCCAAAAUAUGAUGAAGAUACUUUUUUUUAUGUUCCCUGUGUUGCUGCUGAUGACUUGUGUAUGUGAUCAUUUGGACAGAUGUGAGGGGGGGGGAAUAGAUACAAUUGGGGAUUUGCUCUCAUCAUACUUUAGUAGAAUUAGUAGGAUAUUUCGUGUUAUUCUUGAGUCAGGUACGUGGCUUUUGAAGUUUUAUGGACUGCUAUCUAUCGGGCUUAGUUUGGAGUAUUUAGGGUGUGUGCAGAAGUGAGGAUGUGCACCAACUCUUUAUUGGUCAUAAAGGGUGUGGUUUAUGAAGUUUGAUAAAAAACUGCUAUAAAAGAAUCCAAAAGUCCAUUGAGGUUUUUAUUAAGGCAUGUCUAGUGGAGGGGGAGUAGUGCCAACUCAAGACGCCUAAUUUUGCAGGAGCUGUUAAGAAAAACUUUGUCUCGCAUUUGAAUAAACUAGGGGUAUGCAAACCGGAUCCACCAUUCACAUACAGUACAGUUCAUGUUGACAGAGUUUACACAGAGUUGUGCUUAUUCAGGUGGAGAGGUGUGCUUUGUGUGUGUCCAAGUGUCAACAUUUCAAAAGGGGUUUAAGUCUGUGUGUGUGCUGUAAUGAACAAGUGAGGAGAUGGAUCAUCUGCCACUCCAGUGCUCACUUUGUUCUCUCUCCUCAUCUUUUCUUUGGUCUGUUUUUUUUUAUCCUUUUAGGUGUGGACGGAUGUUGGCUGGAGGUUGCUGUCUGCCGAGCAGGAUUGUGGGAGGAGGCCGGUUUAGUCGGAGGGAUUCCUGGCAGAGUGAUUUGUUUUUUUGAUGUAAUGAAAAUCACAUUGCCAGGGAUUUCCAACCGGUUACAACUGUAACGCACACGGCAAUCUCAACCGGAACAGAAUGCACUCAGCUGCCACUACAUUAGGUACACCUCGACUGUAUCGAACAUAUUCCCUUUUUUUUUUUUUUUAACACAGAACAUUUAGGUGGGGAAUUUUGGUAUACAACAUAUUAAAUGUUAGGUACUUAAAAUGUUUAUUCUCGUAAAAUGGACAAGAGACAAUGUUGGCUCUAACAUGGGGUGGACAAACUUUGGAAAGUUGAUGAAAAUUAGUUUAUUUAAUGGUGUAGUAAUAAUACCUUGUAAAUUUAAAUUGUAAUUGUCAGGGAUUUAUUUAGAAAGCAGCUUUUGGAGUUUUUGUAAUCACGUUCGUGCGCGAGGCUCACUAAUCAACAUUACAGCGACAUUCCCAAACUGCUGCCUAUAAUUUAGGCAAUCCAUGACAAAGUUGUUGUUGAAAAUCUUCCAUUUGAAGGCUUUUGGGAAUAGGAAUAAUAUGCCACACUGUAGCACAAACCAUCUGGAUGCCUCAAGAGUUUGGACGAGGCGCAGGACUUAGCUUGCUCCGUGAACAGUUCAGUAGAAAAUCCUGUGUUCACAGUGGCUAAGUUCCGCUUCUCGCGAGCCUUUCCAGCGUUUUGAAGCGCCGCUGUUGUAACAGCUGCAAAGAGUCAACGUGGGAUCAACUAUUAUGAAGUUAGGCGCUACACGUUGCCCAGUCGACUGCUAUAGUAGCAAAAAAAAGCAUUUGACUUUUUUUUUAAUGUGUUAGUGUCAACUCUGUCAAAGCAUUGAAAGGUGUAGAUUAAAAAUCUGACUGGUGCUAACUGUCAAGAUGGUGAAAGGGAUCUGUGGCUUUAAAAGUUGUAUUAAUAAAAAAAAUGAUCUAAAAGUACCAAUUGGUUCUUUACUAUGACUGUUACUGCUAAUUCAGUAUAUUGAAGUGCAUACGAGUUUCGUAAAGACUGCUUUAAAAGUAUGUGAUGGGCUUUGUUUUAUCCAGGUCAAGUUGGGUGGAAAUGUUGAGAGGACGUGAGGCUUAAAAAGUUCUGUUAAGGCUGCUUUAAGAGUGUCCUUUGGGCUUUGUUUGGACUUCUUUGGGACAUGUUGGCUUAAGAAGCUGCAGUAUGGCAGAGCAUAGAAGGAGGGAUGGCUGAGUCACACACCGGAAGGAAAUACAGGAAAUGUCUCAUCGGGGGCGAGGGAAACAAGUAGCAGCGUAAUUGUGAACUCUGAGCGCAAUUGCUAUCUGGGUGGUCAACAACGGAAGCUGCAUCCAAGGUGACAUGUGUGUGUGUGUUUGUUUACUGUGAAUGUAAAGCUUUACGAAUCCCGGCCACUUCGACCGCAACGCUGCUGAUACUCUUAUGUAAGGUAUUUGUCAUAAAAGGAGCAGUGAAAAAGCUCGCAGCCAACAACCGAGGGAAAUCCAAGCCAAACGUGAGGAAAUAAUCCAUUUUAUGUUCUUUUCUAUAGAUGGAAAGCUAUGACAUGUUCAUCACAUUAGAGCUAUAAUGAGGAAUAAAUACCAUCAAUAAAAAUAAAAAAAAUACAAAAAUAAAAAGUAUUUGCCAAAAAACCCAAAAAAUGUUAGUUGAAAGAUGUUUCAAUUUACUCGAACUUUAUGUAACAUUUGCCAUAGAGUGGAAGAGCAAAUAGUUGUGCUGCCUGUCACAACUCAUUUAUAGCAUGCCAGAUAAACAAAGGUGGGAAAUUAUUUUGGGACAAGUGAAGUGAAAUUUCCCACAGCACACCUGAUGACACGGCACAGUUUGGGAAUGACCGACCACCAGUUACAAUUUCCAGGGAAACCUGGCCACGGUGGCAAGUUUUGCUUGCGUAUGCUCUACCUCUCCCCCUAGUGGCAAACAGGCGGCGGUGCGCGGUUGUCUGGGCUCAACCUCCUGUGCCUACUGAGCUGAUAACAGUUGGAUGUUCACCAAGCACUGGCUCAGUUCAGCAGGAACCGGAGUUAGGCCCCCUCGAAAUGGCAACGGAUACGCCGCCCGUCACCAUCCCAUGAAAAAUGUAACUUUUGCUUCUUACAUGUCAAUAAAAUGAGUU